AGUGAACGCUGGCGGUAGGCCUAACACAUGCAAGUCGAACGGCAGCACAGUAAGAGCUUGCUCUUACGGGUGGCGCGUGGCGGACGGGUGAGGAAUACAUCGGAAUCUACUUUUUCGUGGGGGAUAACGUAGGGAAACUUACGCUAAUACCGCAUACGACCUACGGGUGAAAGCAGGGGAUCUUCGGACCUUGCGCGAUUGAAUGAGCCGAUGUCGGAUUAGCUAGUUGGCGGGGUAAAGGCCCACCAAGGCGACGAUCCGUAGCUGGUCUGAGAGGAUGAGCAGCCACAGUGGAACUGAGACACGGUCCAGACUCCUACGGGAGGCAGCAGUGGGGAAUAUUGGACAAUGGGCGCAAGCCUGAUCCAGCCAUACCGCGUGGGUGAAGAAGGCCUUCGGGUUGUAAAGCCCUUUUGUUGGGAAAGAAAAGCAGCAGGUUAAUACCCCGCUGUUCUGACGGUACCCAAAGAAUAAGCUCCGGCUAACUUCGUG
This 492-nucleotide ribosomal RNA is filed under the name uncultured bacterium. Its description in RNAcentral is "partial 16S ribosomal RNA". It matches the Rfam family "Bacterial small subunit ribosomal RNA", at positions 29 to 507 of the family's 1533-position model. The record is from RNAcentral.